AUUGAACGCUGGCGGCAUGCCUUACACAUGCAAGUCGAACGGCAGCACGGGAGCAAUCCUGGUGGCGAGUGGCGAACGGGUGAGUAAUAUAUCGGAACGUGCCCAGUCGUGGGGAUAACGUAGCGAAAGCUACGCUAAUACCGCAUACGAUCUAUGGAUGAAAGCGGGGGAUCGCAAGACCUCGCGCGAUUGGAGCGGCCGAUAUCAGAUUAGGUAGUUGGUGAGGUAAAGGCUCACCAAGCCGACGAUCUGUAGCUGGUCUGAGAGGACGACCAGCCACACUGGGACUGAGACACGGCCCAGACUCCUACGGGAGGCAGCAGUGGGGAAUUUUGGACAAUGGGCGCAAGCCUGAUCCAGCAAUGCCGCGUGCAGGAUGAAGGCCUUCGGUGUAACUGCUUUUGUACGG
Molecule: ribosomal RNA, 409 nt
Filed under: uncultured bacterium
Lineage: Bacteria
Description: bacterial SSU rRNA
Rfam family: Bacterial small subunit ribosomal RNA
Source: RNAcentral